RNAcentral lists this ribosomal RNA (497 nucleotides) under uncultured bacterium. RNAcentral describes it as "partial 16S ribosomal RNA". It matches the Rfam family "Bacterial small subunit ribosomal RNA", at positions 28 to 507 of the family's 1533-position model. The record is from RNAcentral.
GAUGAACGCUGGCGGCGUGCCUAAUACAUGCAAGUCGAGCGAACAGACGAGGAGCUUGCUCCUCUGACGUUAGCGGCGGACGGGUGAGUAACACGUGGAUAACCUACCUAUAAGACUGGGAUAACUUCGGGAAACCGGAGCUAAUACCGGAUAAUAUAUUGAACCGCAUGGUUCAAUAGUGAAAGACGGUUUUGCUGUCACUUAUAGCUGGAUCCGCGCCGCAUUAGCUAGUUGGUAAGGUAACGGCGUACCAAGGCAACGAUGCGUAGCCGACCUGAGAGGGUGAUCGGCCACACUGGAACUGAGACACGGUCCAGACUCCUACGGGAGGCAGCAGUAGGGAAUCUUCCGCAAUGGGCGAAAGCCUGACGGAGCAACGCCGCGUGAGUGAUGAAGGUCUUCGGAUCGUAAAACUCUGUUAUUAGGGAAGAACAAAUGUGUAAGUAACUAUGCACGUCUUGACGGUACCUAAUCAGAAAGCCACGGCUAACUACGUG